This 210-nucleotide ribosomal RNA is filed under the name uncultured bacterium. Its description in RNAcentral is "partial 16S ribosomal RNA". It matches the Rfam family "Bacterial small subunit ribosomal RNA", at positions 32 to 253 of the family's 1533-position model. The record is from RNAcentral.
AAUCAACGCUGGCGGCGUGCCUAACACAUGCAAGUCGCACGAGAAAGGGACUUCGGUCCUGAGUACAGUGGCGCACGGGUGAGUAACACGUGAAUCAUCUACCUUCGAGUGGGAAUAACUGAGAGAAAUCUUAGCUAAUACCGCAUAAUACCUACGGGUCAAAGCAGCAAUGCGCUUGAAGAGGAGUUCGCGGCAGAUUAGUUAGUUGGC